RNAcentral lists this long non-coding RNA (870 nucleotides) under Nicotiana benthamiana. RNAcentral's name for it is "long non-coding RNA (NBEN_LNC033934)". Lineage: Eukaryota; Viridiplantae; Streptophyta; Magnoliopsida; Solanales; Solanaceae. The record is from RNAcentral.
UUAGGAACCCUUUCAGCACUCUGGGAUGUUCUCCCUUUGUUCACGAACACUGGAUGGGGUGAGAACUCAAAUAUUGGUUUUCUAAAGAAACAUAUGGGCGCUUCAUUUGAAAAACGCCCACAGCCAUGGGUCACCAACCUUACUACCGAUGACAUACAUUCUGGAGAUUUUCUUCGCUUCAUUUGAAAAACGUCCACAGCCAUGGGUCACCAACCUUACUACCGAUGACAUACAUUCUGGAGAUUUUCUUGCAUUAUCAAAAAUUAGAGGUCGCUGGGGUGGUUUUGAGACUUUAGAGAAAUGGGUAUCAGGAGCUUAUGCUGGCCAUUCUGCUGUUUGCUUGAGAGACUCUGAAGGAAAACUAUGGGUUGGUGAAUCUGGAAAUGAGAAUGAUAAGGUAGUGUAACUGAACUAUUUUGUUUUCACGUUGUGUUAUUCUGUGAUAUUUACUCUUUCUUUUCUUCGGGAGCAAGGGCAAAGUCUGUUACACAGUAAAGAACUGGAAGAGUAGAAGGAGAAUGGAGAUAGAGAAAAUUUGCUUUUGUGUUCAUUGUACUAGAGAAUGGAGAUAGAUUUAUGAUCUUCUCUAGACAAGAGGGGUUGCUCUGAUGGUAAGCAACCCCCACUUCCAAUCGAGAGGUUGUGAGUUCGAAUCUGCCCAAGAGCAAGGUGGGAAGUUCUUGGAGGGAAGGAUGCCGGGAUCUACUUGGAAACAGCCUCUCUACCCAAGGGUAGGGGUAAGGUCUGCGUACACACUACCCUUCCCAGGCCCCACUAAAUGAGAUUAUACUGGGUUGUUGUUGUUAUUGUUGAUCUUCUCUAGUCUUUUUAUAGUGAAAGAAAUGUUAGUGAUUGACUUCUCCAUUUGCU